AGCAGCCGCCGCGGGAAUACGAAGGGUGCAAGCGUUACUCGGAAUUACUGGGCGUAAAGCGUGCGUAGGUGGUGGUUUAAGUCCGUUGUGAAAGCCCUGGGCUCAACCUGGGAAUUGCAGUGGAUACUGGGUCACUAGAGUGUGGUAGAGGAUAGCGGAAUUUCCGGUGUAGCAGUGAAAUGCGUAGAGAUCGGAAGGAACAUCUGUGGCGAAGGCGACUAUCUGGGCCAACACUGACACUGAGGCACGAAAGCGUGGGGAGCAAACAGGAUUAGAUACCCGCGUAGUCCCUGUCUCUUAUAC
RNAcentral lists this ribosomal RNA (303 nucleotides) under uncultured bacterium. RNAcentral describes it as "partial 16S ribosomal RNA". It matches the Rfam family "Bacterial small subunit ribosomal RNA", at positions 507 to 807 of the family's 1533-position model. The record is from RNAcentral.